This 24-nucleotide microRNA is filed under the name Brachypodium distachyon (stiff brome). Its description in RNAcentral is "bdi-miR7727-3p". Lineage: Eukaryota; Viridiplantae; Streptophyta; Magnoliopsida; Poales; Poaceae. The record is from miRBase by way of RNAcentral.
CCAAGUCGAUUGGAACUAAUGAGC